Molecule: ribosomal RNA, 512 nt
Filed under: uncultured bacterium
Lineage: Bacteria
Description: partial 16S ribosomal RNA
Rfam family: Bacterial small subunit ribosomal RNA
Source: RNAcentral
UGGGGAAUAUUGCACAAUGGGCGCAAGCCUGAUGCAGCCAUGCCGCGUGUGUGAAGAAGGCCUUCGGGUUGUAAAGCACUUUCAGCGAGGAGGAAGGUGGUGAGCUUAAUACGCUCAUCAAUUGACGUUACUCGCAGAAGAAGCACCGGCUAACUCCGUGCCAGCAGCCGCGGUAAUACGGAGGGUGCAAGCGUUAAUCGGAAUUACUGGGCGUAAAGCGCACGCAGGCGGUUUGUUAAGUCAGAUGUGAAAUCCCCGGGCUCAACCUGGGAACUGCAUUUGAAACUGGCAAGCUAGAGUCUCGUAGAGGGGGGUAGAAUUCCAGGUGUAGCGGUGAAAUGCGUAGAGAUCUGGAGGAAUACCGGUGGCGAAGGCGGCCCCUGGACGAAGACUGACGCUCAGUGCGAAAGCGUGGGAGCAAACAGGAUUAGAUACCCUGGUAGUCCAGCGCUGUAAACGAUGUCGAUUUGGAGGUUGUGCCCUUGAGGCGUGGCUUCCGGAGCUAACGCGUU